UUUGGAGGUUGUGCCCUUGAGGCGUGGCUUCCGGAGCUAACGCGUUAAAUCGACCGCCUGGGGAGUACGGCCGCAAGGUUAAAACUCAAAUGAAUUGACGGGGGCCCGCACAAGCAGUGGAGCAUGUGGUUUAAUUCGAUGCAACGCGAAGAACCUUACCUACUCUUGACAUCCAGAGAACUUUCCAGAGAUGGAUUGGUGCCUUCGGGAACUCUGAGACAGGUGCUGCAUGGCUGUCGUCAGCUCGUGUUGUGAAAUGUUGGGUUAAGUCCCGCAACGAGCGCAACCCUUAUCCUUUGUUGCCAGCGGUUCGGCCGGGAACUCAAAGGAGACUGCCAGUGAUAAACUGGAGGAAGGUGGGGAUGACGUCAAGUCAUCAUGGCCCUUACGAGUAGGGCUACACACGUGCUACAAUGGCAUAUACAAAGAGAAGCGACCUCGCGAGAGCAAGCGGACCUCAUAAAGUAUGUCGUAGUCCGGAUUGGAGUCUGCAACUCGACUCCAUGAAGUCGGAACCGCUAGUAAUCGUAGAUCAGAAUGCUACGGUGAAUACGUUCCCGGGCCUUGUACACACCGCCGUCACACCAUGGGAGUGGGUUGCAAAAGAAGUAGGUAGCUUAACCUUCGGGAGGGCGCUUACCACUUUGUGAUUCAUGACUGGGGUGAAGUCGUAACAAGGUAACCGUAGGGGAACCUGC
Molecule: ribosomal RNA, 698 nt
Filed under: uncultured bacterium
Lineage: Bacteria
Description: bacterial SSU rRNA
Rfam family: Bacterial small subunit ribosomal RNA
Source: RNAcentral